GGUAGGGUGGCCGAACGUCUAGGUGGUGGGUUGUAGCCCCGUGAACAGAGGUUAAAAUCCUCUCCCUAUCA
This 71-nucleotide transfer RNA is filed under the name Acheilognathus tabira jordani. Its description in RNAcentral is "tRNA-Tyr". It matches the Rfam family "tRNA". From Rfam's summary of the family: Transfer RNA (tRNA) molecules are approximately 80 nucleotides in length. Their secondary structure includes four short double-helical elements and three loops (D, anti-codon, and T loops). The record is from RNAcentral. Lineage: Eukaryota; Metazoa; Chordata; Actinopteri; Cypriniformes; Acheilognathidae. RNAcentral also lists the same sequence under 1 other name.